CAGAUCAGAAAAGAUGGCCGCAGUCGACACCUUCCUCUUCACCUCGGAGUCCGUGAAUGAGGGACACCCUGACAAGCUCUGCGACCAGGUCUCAGAUGCUGUGCUUGAUGCUUGCCUUGCUGAGGACCCCGACAGCAAGGUUGCUUGCGAGACCUGCACCAAGACUAACAUGGUCAUGGUCUUUGGUGAGAUCACCACCAAGGCCAACGUCGACUACGAGAAGAUUGUCAGGGACACUUGCCGCAACAUCGGUUUCGUGUCGGCAGAUGUCGGGCUUGACGCUGACCACUGCAAGGUGCUCGUGAACAUUGAGCAGCAGUCCCCUGAUAUUGCUCAGGGUGUGCAUGGCCACUUCACAAAGCGCCCUGAGGAGAUCGGAGCUGGUGACCAGGGACACAUGUUUGGGUAUGCAACUGAUGAGACCCCUGAGCUGAUGCCCCUCAGCCACGUCCUUGCCACCAAGCUUGGUGCUCGUCUCACAGAGGUGCGCAAGAAUGGGACCUGCCCCUGGCUCAGGCCUGAUGGGAAGACCCAGGUGACUGUCGAGUACCGCAAUGAGGGUGGUGCGAUGGUCCCCAUCCGUGUCCACACUGUCCUCAUCUCUACCCAGCACGACGAGACAGUCACCAACGAUGAGAUUGCCGCUGACCUCAAGGAGCAUGUCAUCAAGCCUGUCAUCCCUGAGCAGUACCUUGACGAGAAGACCAUCUUCCACCUUAACCCAUCUGGUCGCUUUGUCAUCGGUGGACCUCAUGGUGAUGCUGGUCUCACUGGCCGGAAGAUCAUCAUUGACACCUAUGGUGGCUGGGGAGCCCACGGUGGUGGUGCUUUCUCCGGCAAGGACCCAACCAAGGUUGACCGCAGUGGAGCCUACAUUGCCAGGCAAGCUGCCAAGAGCAUUGUCGCUAAUGGCCUUGCUCGCCGCGCCAUCGUCCAGGUCUCCUAUGCCAUCGGUGUGCCUGAGCCCCUCUCCGUGUUUGUUGACACAUAUGGCACUGGCACGAUCCCCGACAAGGAGAUCCUCAAGAUUAUUAAGGAGAACUUCGACUUCAGGCCUGGCAUGAUCAUCAUCAACCUUGACCUCAAGAAAGGCGGCAACGGGCGCUACCUCAAGACAGCUGCCUACGGUCACUUCGGAAGGGACGACCCUGACUUCACCUGGGAGGUGGUGAAGCCCCUCAAGUGGGAGAAGCCUUCUGCCUAAGGCGCCCUUUGAGAAGAAGCUUUUGGUCUGCUGCGCUUAUCAUGUUUGGUGGCUUCUGUGUUGUGAUUCUUGAUCUGCCCCUUGCUAUCAUUUGUAUUGU
RNAcentral lists this long non-coding RNA (1304 nucleotides) under Setaria viridis. Its description in RNAcentral is "long non-coding RNA (SVIR_LNC002555)". The record is from RNAcentral. Lineage: Eukaryota; Viridiplantae; Streptophyta; Magnoliopsida; Poales; Poaceae.